Gorilla gorilla gorilla (western lowland gorilla) is the source of this 120-nucleotide ribosomal RNA. Lineage: Eukaryota; Metazoa; Chordata; Mammalia; Primates; Hominidae. The record is from Ensembl.
GUCCACAGACCCACCAACCCUGAACACAUCUGAUCUUGACUGAUCUUGGAAGCUAAGCAGGGUCAGGCCUGGUUAGUAUUUGGAUGGGAGACUGCUUGGGUAUACUAGGUGCUAUAGGCU